RNAcentral lists this ribosomal RNA (433 nucleotides) under uncultured bacterium. RNAcentral's name for it is "partial 16S ribosomal RNA". It matches the Rfam family "Bacterial small subunit ribosomal RNA", at positions 29 to 507 of the family's 1533-position model. The record is from RNAcentral.
AACGAACGCUGGCGGCAGGCUUAACACAUGCAAGUCGAACGCACCUUUCGGGGUGAGUGGCCGACGGGUGAGUAACGCGUGGGAAUUUACCCUUCUCUACGGGAUCGUUCCGGGAAACUGGAAUUCAUACCGUAUACGUCCUGAGGGAGAAGGAUUUCCCGGGGAAGGAUGAGCGCGCGUUGGAUUAGCUAGUUGGUGGGGUACAGGCCUGUCAAGGCGACGAUCCAUAGCUGGUCUGAGAGGAUGAUCAGCCACAUUGGGACUGAGGCACGGCCCAAUCUCCGACGGGAGGCAGCAGUAGAGUAUAUUAGACAAGGGACGCAAGCCUGAUCCAGCCGUGCCGCGGGUGUGAGGAAGCCCCUAGGGUUGUAAAUCUCUUUCAGUGGGGGCGAUAGUGACGGUACCCACAGAAGAAGCCCCGGCUAACUUCGUG